UAAUUUGUAGAAGAUGUUUCGGGUGUGGCUCCGGUUUAAGUUCUUUGGAAUAUUACAUCAUAGAGGGUGAGAAUCCCGUAUGUGACCGGCAGCCUCCGCCUAUGUGAAACUCUUUCGAC
RNAcentral lists this ribosomal RNA (119 nucleotides) under Tetracladium breve. RNAcentral describes it as "partial large subunit ribosomal RNA". Lineage: Eukaryota; Fungi; Ascomycota; Leotiomycetes; Helotiales. The record is from RNAcentral.